RNAcentral lists this ribosomal RNA (773 nucleotides) under uncultured Neocallimastigales. Its description in RNAcentral is "partial large subunit ribosomal RNA". It matches the Rfam family "Eukaryotic large subunit ribosomal RNA", at positions 23 to 634 of the family's 3401-position model. The record is from RNAcentral. Lineage: Eukaryota; Fungi; Neocallimastigomycota; Neocallimastigomycetes; Neocallimastigales.
AGAGAGAGACAUGCGCGCAUAUCAAUAAGCGGAGGAAAAGAAACUAACUAGGAUUCCCUCAGUAACGGCGAGUGAAGCGGGAAGAGCUCAAAUUUGAAAUCUUCAAGGUUCUACCUUGACGAAUUGUAGUUUAAAGAAGUGUUUUCUGCUGAAGUUUUGGUAAAAGUUCUUUGGAAUAGGACAUCAUAGAGGGUGAGAAUCCCGUAUUUGACCAUUAUUUCAGCUUUGUGAUACACUUUCAAAGAGUCGGAUUGUUUGGGAAUGCAGUCCAAAAUGGGUGGUAAAUUUCAUCUAAAGCUAAAUAUUGGCGAGAGACCGAUAGCGAACAAGUACCGUGAGGGAAAGAUGAAAAGAACUUUGAAAAGAGAGUUAAACAGUACGUGAAAUUGUCAAAAGGGAAGCGUUUGACACCAGUGUUGUUUUCUCGAAAAUCAAUUAAAAAUGGCUCGAUUUUGUAUUGUUGAGACCUUAAAAGCUCACUGUACAUUUUUCGUGUCUUUUUUAAUGCACUUUUCGUUUAACAAGUCAACAUCAGUUUCUUUUGUUGUAAAAGGGUCAUUGGAAGGUGGCUUUCUUUUCGGAGAAAGUGUUUAUAGCCUUUGGCCUCUGCAAUCGGAGAGACUGAGGUCUGCAGCGUAGACUCUUCGGGGUUAGAUACAUUUGUGCUAAGUUAUAGCUUUUUAUAGACAACUUGUUGACUAUAAUUAGUCUUGUAGCUUACUCGCUUAUGCUAUUUUACCUACGCUUAGGAUGUUGAAGAUGUAGCACAUCAU